AUUGAACGCUGGCGGAAUGCUUUACACAUGCAAGUCGAACGGCAGCACGGACUUCGGUCUGGUGGCGAGUGGCGAACGGGUGAGUAAUGUAUCGGAACGUGCCCAGUCGUGGGGGAUAACGUAGUGAAAAUUACGCUAAUACCGCAUACGAUCUAUGGAUGAAAGCGGGGGAUCGCAAGACCUCGCGCGAUUGGAGCGGCCGAUAUCAGAUUAGGUAGUUGGUGGGGUAAAGGCCCACCAAGCCAACGAUCUGUAGCUGGUCUGAGAGGACGAGCGACAACAGAGAAACGGAGACGCGGUCCAGACCCUAACGGGGGGCAGCAGGGGGAAAUUUUGGAAAAUGGGCGAAAGCCUGAUCCAGCCAUUCCGCGUGCAGGAAAAAGGCCCUCGGGUUUAAAACUGCUUUUGUACAGAAGGAAAAGGUUUCUACUAAUACUAGGAGCUCAUGACGGUACUGUAAGAAUAAGCACCGGCUAACUACGGGCCACCCGCCGCCGUAA
Molecule: ribosomal RNA, 500 nt
Filed under: uncultured bacterium
Lineage: Bacteria
Description: partial 16S ribosomal RNA
Rfam family: Bacterial small subunit ribosomal RNA
Source: RNAcentral